RNAcentral lists this ribosomal RNA (769 nucleotides) under uncultured bacterium. RNAcentral's name for it is "bacterial SSU rRNA". It matches the Rfam family "Bacterial small subunit ribosomal RNA", at positions 38 to 808 of the family's 1533-position model. The record is from RNAcentral.
GGCGGCGUGCUUAACACAUGCAAGUCGAACGGGAAAUAUUUCAUUGAGACUUCGGUGGAUUUGAUCUAUUUCUAGUGGCGGACGGGUGAGUAACGCGUGGGUAACCUGCCUUAUACAGGGGGAUAACAGUCAGAAAUGGCUGCUAAUACCGCAUAAGCGCACAGAGCUGCAUGGCUCAGUGUGAAAAACUCCGGUGGUGUAAGAUGGACCCGCGUUGGAUUAGCUUGUUGGUGGGGUAACGGCCCACCAAGGCGACGAUCCAUAGCCGGCCUGAGAGGGUGAACGGCCACAUUGGGACUGAGACACGGCCCAGACUCCUACGGGAGGCAGCAGUGGGGAAUAUUGCACAAUGGGGGAAACCCUGAUGCAGCGACGCCGCGUGAAGGAAGAAGUAUCUCGGUAUGUAAACUUCUAUCAGCAGGGAAGAUAGUGACGGUACCUGACUAAGAAGCCCCGGCUAACUACGUGCCAGCAGCCGCGGUAAUACGUAGGGGGCAAGCGUUAUCCGGAUUUACUGGGUGUAAAGGGAGCGUAGACGGUGUGGCAAGUCUGAUGUGAAAGGCAUGGGCUCAACCUGUGGACUGCAUUGGAAACUGUCAUACUUGAGUGCCGGAGGGGUAAGCGGAAUUCCUAGUGUAGCGGUGAAAUGCGUAGAUAUUAGGAGGAACACCAGUGGCGAAGGCGGCUUACUGGACGGUAACUGACGUUGAGGCUCGAAAGCGUUGGGAGCAAACAGGAUUAGAUACCCUGGUAGUCCACGCCGUAAACG